UGACGUGUGACUGUGUUGUCCUCCAAUCUUCCUGGUGUUCGAUGUACCCCCUAAUCUUACUCUGGAGGGAGCCUCUUUAAAUUUUUUGUCAACAAAAUGCUGUGAAAGUCAGCAGGGAAGUGCGAUGUAGAAGAAAUGACUGCCAGAAGCUUGCUAAGGAACCGCACAACCUGUGUGGGCAGCAGACAAAAUAUUCAUCAAACGAAGUUUUGCACCAAAGUUAUGAGAGCAGCACAGAUGUUUUUUUAGCGUAAUGGAGUGAUGGAAGUGCUGCGCCAAUCAUGGAGUGCUUAGCAGUCGCCUGCUCGACCAGCCACAGUGAGUCAUUGGAGGCAGUGCUGCAGCACCAACAAUCACUCGUUGGAAGAAAGGAAUGAGGUGGCCAUCAACACCCUGCUGCCAGUUCAACACUCCUCAGUCAAAACACAAGACGCCUGCUUGGCGGCAAAGUCAAUCCAAUUUUAGACAAGAGU
Molecule: long non-coding RNA, 473 nt
Organism: Ornithodoros turicata
Lineage: Eukaryota; Metazoa; Arthropoda; Arachnida; Ixodida; Argasidae
Exons: 4
Source: RefSeq, a predicted model, not a curated record